Peromyscus eremicus (cactus mouse) is the source of this 973-nucleotide long non-coding RNA. RefSeq lists it as uncharacterized. The transcript has 3 exons. The record is from RefSeq and is a predicted model, not a curated record. NCBI's taxonomy places the organism in Eukaryota, Metazoa, Chordata, Mammalia, Rodentia, Cricetidae.
CUUCCCUGGCUUAUGGUCAGCAUGAAAGACUUGCUCUCUCUCGGUGACUUCUCUGCUUUCCUUCAGCCCCCAGUCACUCCUCACUCCAAGUCUUGGUCUUCCUUUGCUAUGGGAAAGGCUGUUUUUAGAUUUUAAAAAUGCCCACCCACACUUCUCUUUGUUCCCCAUUUCUGGACUGCUUGGGUUGUGACUCUCAGAGUCUUGGUUUGUUUUUCUCUCUCCAGGUGGGAAAAGAGGGAAACUUGAAAGCGUUUCCAGUUUUUGCCGUUUGUGUCAUUGCUCUGAUUUCUGUUUUCUCCGAACAGCCUUCAAGCUCUCCUGUGAAGGCAGCACGUUAGUGAGGAUUGACUCCUCUCACUGAAGCGUACAAACACAAGCAUGAUUUACCAAUGUUCAGUUCUGAUCUGGGGAGAGAAACGUGUUCAUGAGUGGGACUAACGACUGACUGGCUUUGUGUCUUCAACAGGAAAACAUUCUUCAGGUGGAGGAAGCCAUUCUCUGAACACAACAACAGGAAAGAGAAAGAACCGAAGAGUGUAAAAAGCACGUUGUCAUGGGGCACAUGGAAUUCUAUUCCAAGAGCACUCAAGGUGUUGAAUGAACCAGAAACCAAUGCAGGAGAACCUGAGGGCAUCCUGAGUAGACGUGAGGGAAGCAGAAGGUAGCUCACCUUCUGCAGAAAUGGAAAACACUAAAUUCUUUUCAACACCCCACAGACAGUUCUGGUUUCCUCUCUCUGUUAAUCCAUGUCCAUGCUGUCUGCCUAGUUCCAAGUAAGCAAUUCUACACACUCUCUUAUCAGGCUGAAGGUUUUCCUUCCUGCCUCCUGCCCCUCAGAAAACAACAGACGGGGUGCAUGGUGUGAACACAGGUAGCUGUGGGCAUGCCCCUGGAAACUGAUGGCAUGGCAGACAUUGGCACAGACAGAUGUGCAGCACUCAGCUGAGCUCCAGGAGGAAGUCCCACAGAUCAG